UAGUGCUGGAGUCUCAGGAGGGAGUGCUCUUGGAUACCACCACCAUGGCUUGGACUCUACUUGUCCUCACACUCCUCAAUCAGGGUACCUGUGU
This 94-nucleotide microRNA precursor is filed under the name Marmota monax (woodchuck). It matches the Rfam family "mir-650 microRNA precursor family". The record is from RNAcentral. Lineage: Eukaryota; Metazoa; Chordata; Mammalia; Rodentia; Sciuridae.